UUAAAAAAUUAAAAAUAUAACAAUUCCCUCCGUAAAAUAUUUUUAUUUUAGUAGGUAACAUAAUAUGUACUCAGUAACCUUAACCUUGCCGAUAAUAAUAUGCUGACGUUGAUGUGUCGAUGCCUGAAAUGAAAUGAUUUAUUUGAAUCUGUAAAAUGUUAUACAUUAUUUAGAUUCCGUCAAUAUUAACUCUACCACCAGUUCGGAAAGCAGUUCUCACUAGAGAAGAACGGGCAAGAAACUCUGGUGUUGCUCUUUUCAAUCAGUUUAGUGUAAAGACUACAGUACAUGAUGAAGUGAGAAGAUAAAAAAAAAAAUACAAUUGGUUUUUUAUUGUUGUUUAGAGCACUUCAUUUAUAGGCUUGUGUAAUAAGGAAUAAAUUAAUUUAAAUUUUCAUAUGUCUGCACAACCCUCUCAGGAAUCAUGAAAUUUGUCUAUUAUUAUCCUUAUCAUUAUUUCCUCCUAGCACCUCUAGCAAUUAGAAAUUGUAAGCGAAAUGGGCAGAACAGUCCACACAAGUAGCACCCGUUCACGAGUAUGACGCAUGUGCCAGCCAUCGGCCUCCUCAACCAUAUUGUAGGGAAGUGGCCGACCCGUCACACGACGCCGCCGCAGGUACAGAUAGUUAGAGAGUUUUUCAUAUCCAAGCCGCUUACAGUCAUAUUACAAAUAAAGAGAAAGAAAAAAUAUAUAUAUCUCGAUCAAGUGACAUGAUUCCAAAGAAAAUCACACAAAAAUGCUUAGUCCCAGGCAUUUAUAUCCUCUAGGUAUUCUGAGAUCUUGUAAUAAGCUUUAUUACACAACUUGCGCUUAAUAGUGGCUUGGAAUUUCGCAAUAUUUAAGGAUUUGAUCUCAGUAGGAACUUUGUUUUAAAAAUGUAUACAGUAACCCUUAAAAGACUUGCUGAUCUUUUGGAGCCUUGGUUUUGUGAUUUAGUAAAUUAUUUUUGUUUCUAGUAUUUUAACUAUGGAUAUCGCUAACUUUUGGAAAAUUUUCUAUAUUUUUAUGGACAUACACUAAGUUAGCGAAAAUGAAUUGUGAUGCUACUGGGUAAAGCUCAUAUUUUAGCGCACUUUGUAAAAUGUUUCUGUCCGAAGAGUUAGACUCCAAAAAAAAUUUAAAAAAAAUAAAUAAAUCUACUUUUUAUAAAAAUUAAAUACAGUACGUACAAUUUUUUAUUGUGUCAAAUUUUUUCAUAAACAUAUUUCUAGUAUUUACUUUUACACAUUAAAAUAAAAAAUGUUCGACUUUUUCAUUCCAUACAUUUUGUUGGUUUCUGCAUACGCCCACUCCACACAAAUCAUUACACAUAUAAUUUUUUAUCAUUAUGACUUUUUAUUUUUCGUAUAUAUCUUGUUCUAUUGAAUAUUUAACUACGAAAAAAACGACAACAACUACAAUUAAUCACCCCGUAUUGUUUAUAUUAACAACUUAAGAGGUGUCCCAAAUUUUAUUCUCUUGUAACACGUCAGUUGUGUAACGCGAUAUUUCCUGGUCUUGUUUAUAAUCUACCAUAAAUAAUUAAUUUAUUUGAAGUGGCAAUACUAGCUCAUCGUACUUGACACAUUCCUGAACGAUUCCGCCAUCUUUUUUUCGUGUUAGUUGGAAGAACGUGUUGGAGCAGACUGUUUCUCCUUAAGAAAAGGGAAGAUUUAUUCCUUGGAAUUAUCAUUAAUUAAAUAGCUGUCCUGAUUUUUAGUUUUAAAUCAUACACAACAAUCAUUUCUUUGUUGAACUAUGACAGUUUUUGAAGGCUAUAUUUAUUAAUUUACGUGUUAUGAUUUUUUUUAGGUUAGUUCGUAUUGUAUAUUUCAUCCGUUGUGCGACAGAGUGACACAAAUUGUGCGACGUAUUACAACGGAAAUUAUAAAAGAAAGUGUAUAUUGUUAUAUUUUAGAACAAUUCAAUUUUUGAUCACUACACAAACUGUAUUUAUUUUUCCACAACAUUUAUAAAACAUAAUUUAAAAAUAAGUGGGUUCCAUAACAAACCCGUCAGCUGAAUCUGAAAAUAAACAACUUAAUAAUACGUCAUAUAUCUAAUGUCUAUAUUACCUACUGUACCUCUUUAAACAUAUUCAUACUAUUGAUGGUGUCAUAAAAAUAAAAGUUGAAAUGCGGAUAACGUUGGUAGAGGCCUAUGUCUAACAAUGGUUGUUCGUGGGCUGAUAUGAUAAUGCUGAUAUUGAUGUUUUUUAUUUAAUAGACGAUAAAUAUUAAGAGCAUGAUUUUUCAGUAGCCGAAUUUUGUUUUUGAAAUUAUUUAACAUUUACUUUUUAUUAUUUAUAUGAGCCUAUAAUGCAAUGUGUAUUUUUUUAUUUAACUCUACAGAUGCCUUUAUCUGCGGCGGAAAGAUGUCGAAGAUACAGAGAAAAAUUAAAACAAACGAAUCCUGCUAAAUUUGAACAAUUGAAAAAGAAGAAUGCAGAGCGAACUAAGGCAAAAAAAAGAAAAAUAGUAGAUAUGACUGAAGAAGAAAAACAAGUAAUAAGAAAGCAAUGGAGAGAAGCUAAGCGCACCAAAAAAGCAAAAGUUGAAAAUUUGGAUCAAGCAACAAACGCUAUAGUUAUAAAACGACGUAAAUACCGUAGUAAAUUACUACAAGAAAACAAAAAGUUAAAGGAAAGAAAUAAACGCCUACUUGUUAAAAAUGCCAAUUUACAUAAAACUUUUAUCAGAUACAAAAGAAGGGUUAUUAAUUUAACCAACAGAUUAAAUAUAAUAACAAACAAAUCAAAUGAAGCAACUAUAUCUAGGACUCCCGUCACACCAAUCAUUUUAGGUAAGAAAGAAAUUAUUAGAAACACGUGUCUUAGAAGAAACUUUAAAAGAAACUUACAAAACCAGUAAACCAUUUGAAAAACGGGUAUUGAAGAGAAUAGUUCAAAAUGAGUCAGUCAAAAAACACAAAAUGCAGAAUAAAAUUUGAAAAUGUUUGGGUUUAAAAAGAGGCAUACGCUAGUAUCAUUUUAUAAAGCAGAGGAAAGUGAGAACAUCCAAAGAAAUAGAAAAAAUCUUUAAACAGGAUGACAUCAGUCGCAUGACCGCCGGAAAAAAAGAAUACAUCACUCGUAAUAAAAAUAAAAAACAAAAAAGGAUUUUGUUAAAUACUUUAUCCUAAUUUGUAUAAAGUAUACCGAAAUGAAGGUGGAAAUUUAUCCUUUGCUACUUUUAAACGCUGUCGCCCAUUUUAUGUGGUUCCUCCGCAUGUAUCCAACCGAAACACGUGUGCUUGUAUUAAACAUGCUAACUUAGACUUCAAAGCACAGACUCUAAAGAAAGCUGCCUCAAUAACAUCUACUGAUCCAAAUGAUUUGAUUUCUGAAAUAGUAUGUGAUAUAAAACAAACCUUGCAUGUAUUCAGAGUGUGCAGUGUGUGCUGGAAAAAAAAUUUGCUUUACUACUACAGAAGAUAUAUUAUCACAAGAGGUUACUUGGACUGAAUGGACAAUUAAAUGUUAUGAGUACGAAAAAUCUUGUAUACGCUAAACUACUAAAAAAACUGGUCAAGAGGAAAAGGCAGGUACAUUCAAUACACUAAUUAUUCAAUUCCAAGAAGAAUUCCCAAAAUUUAAAACUCAUUUUUUAUAAUAUUUACCACCAACACAAGCAAUAUAAAGAAGCUAUAGAAAAGAUACACGAUAAUGAAGUUGUCAUACAUUGUGAUUUUUCCGAAAAUUACGGAUGUAACAUGGCCGAAGAAGUGCAGUCUAUGCACUUUGCAGGCUCAAGGCAACAAAUUACAUUGUAUACAGGCGUAUUUUACAUUAAAAACCAUAAACAUUUUGUAAGCUGUUCCGCAUUCACUAAUAUAUUCUAAUUGUUUAUCCGAAAUUGUACUCAUUAUUAUAGUUCUUGCCUUUAAAUCCUUCUUUUUCCAUUCCGCCUUAGCUUUUUCAUCUUGACCCGGAGCGGGGGUUAAUGGCAAUGGCGGGCUCGUUACACUCCUUAUAUUCUAAUAAGGUUAAUAACCUUAAUUUCCAGCCCGUAUAGUUUACACCAUCGAAAAUAGGUAGCGUAACAUCUUCAAUUUUUGCUUGAUUAGCCAUUUUUUGAAAAUAAUUAUAAUUACUGUUUUUUUGUUAAUUUUUCCUUCUUGCACAUGUAACUUUAACCUCUAACUUAUUUUUUGUCGUAAUAAUUUUAACAAUCCACAUAUUGACACACAUUGAGUUUCAUUUACCAACCACGCUCUGCUACCAUGUUGGGAUAGUUAAUGCAAGAAUGCAGGAAAACUUCAGUAACAGAUAAUAAUAUUUGCAUAAUACAACAGUAAUUAUUCGACUUUAAAUUUUUAAAACUUUUCGAUUGGACUUGCAAUAAUUUACUGCUUUUAUCAUUAUUUUCGUUGCGCAAUUUAACCUCAUGAUCUAACAAUCUAGUUUUAACAAAGGCUAGUGUCGAAUUAUCUUCGGAUAGUUUCUAUUGCUUUUAUGACAUCAUCAUAUGUAGUCGGUAUUGUUAAUAAGUGUGAUACUUUAUCAGUUUCUUCCAGCGUCGCACCAGCAGCCAGCAAUUCGGUAAUUAGUUCAUCAAAAAUUGUGAAAUGUCUUACCAAAGGAAGGUCACCUUUAAGUUUUAAACUUAACAACUUUUUUUGCAAUGCCAACUGAGUUGCGAGACUUUUCCGCUCAUGUAAGGCAUCCAGGUUCCUCAAAAUAUCUCUUGCUGAGACAUCUUCGACGAAACCAAGAAAUCUGCUAAAUAUUCAACAAUGAUACCUUUUGCAAUUUGGUUAUUUUGCUUCCAAUUUUUACAAGGUAUUACGAGAUCUUCAUCAAUAACUUUAAGAACAUCCAUUUCGCUUAGUAGAGCGCGUAUUCUAAACUUUCAUACACUAUAUUUUUCUCCAUUGAAAGUUUGAUAUUUCGCUUGAAUUUUAGACCAUCCAUGGUGGCGACAAAAUUUUUCUUCGUUUAAUUUUUUUUAAAAAGCAAUCUUCAAUGUUAUUAAAUUAUUACGAAAAUAACUUCAGCAAGACUGGAGUUAAACUAAAGUUAAGACUGGGCCCCUAACCUAUGGGAAAUAAGGUUACAGACAAUAACUGAAUAUAAUUAUAUUUAAAUUUUAUAUUUCUGUCAAUCCCUUGAAAGGCUUACGUGACAGUUACCUACAACCAUAAACUGCAUAAAUGACAUAGAUAAAUAUAAAAUACGAAGGUUUCUAAUGAGAUAAAUACAGAAUAAUAUAGAUUAAUUAUAUGUAUUUUAAUAUUGAAAUUCCAACACUGACGCUUUUAGACAAUCGUCGACGAAAACGAAUACGAAGUCCAAAUCCGUAAAUAGAGAAUACAUGAAUCGUUGGAACGUUUGCGUUGCAUUGCGUAAACCAAAAGGCAUUCUAGAAACUUCAAAAAGUCCGAAAGGAGUGAUAAUAUCGGUUUUUUCCACUUUGACUGGAAUGCAGUGGUAGGCCUACUGAAUAUCAAUCUUGCUCAAGAUUUUUUUAUUUUCUAGUAUGUAAGUGAAAUCAAUUAAUCGUGGAAGUAGAUAUUUAUCAGGUACAGUCGCGUUAUUGAGCAUUCGAUAAUCUCCACAUGGUCUCCAUUCACCAUUUUUUUUCUUUACCCUGUGCAAAGGACUAGCCCAUGAGCUGUCCGAAGGGCGACAAAUGCCAAGCUCCAUCGUACUACGAAAUUCCUUUUUACCAAUACUCAUCAGGAGGUAAUAAGUCUUGCACGUGCUGAUAUCGGCGGUCCUUUAGUGAUAAUAUGAUGCUUAAUCUUAUGUUUUGCAGUAGUGCGGAGGGAGUAAGGUUUCAUAAUAUCCUCGUAUUUUUUUUAAUAGUUGAAUAACGCGUGGGUACGUUCCAAUUUAAAUAGUGCUAAUAGUUUACUGCGUCGAUUUGAUUAGGGUUGCAGGCGUCGUCAGCUCAAUUACCCUGUCUAUAAAUUUGCGAUCAGCUAUAUCAAGUAAUAACUUAUAAUGCUCUAUGAAAUCCGCUCCAAUAAUUGGUUGUGUUAUAUCGGCGAUGACGAAGUUGCAUAUAAAAUUUCUCCGUAGCCCCAUGUUCAAAGUAAGUGUUUUUUCACCAUGUCUUGCCAAGUAGUUUUACUUGUAUUAUCCGAGUUUUUAAUAUUACUACCGAUAUAGGCAGCUUUAGCAUGCUAUAUACACUUUUAAAAAUUUGAGACUAUGUUCUCACAUAAUUAUUAAAUUCGCAGCGGGUGUAAAGGACCUUCUGUCAUAUAAUUCAUAGAGAACAUCUCUACUACGUCUAAUACCGUUUGUUGCCCAAGAACUGAAUGAUAUUUUAUUUUUUAAUGGCACUGAUUUUACACCACAUGUUUUAUUAAAUAUGUUUGUAAUACCAUUUAAUAAUGUUUUAAACAUAUUAUUUGGGUGGUCUUAACCGCCAGUCAGCUUAGGCAACACCGAAUUAAGCCUAGCACUAAAUUUCUGUAGAUUACAUUGGGUUAGGGGUCUAAAUUGUACUAUGUUCUUACUUCUAUUGCUUUCACAAUUUAGUUUGACCAUUUGACAUGUGUGGUCUGAGCGAACGCCAGCUAAUAAUUCUUUAGAGUUAAUUUUAAAACUUGAAAUAACAUUAUCAAUACAGGUAGCUGAAGUUGUAGUUAAUCUAGUUGGCUCGAGAAAGUGACAGUUUAGAUUAAAUGAUUAAAGUAAAUUCAA
Molecule: long non-coding RNA, 6632 nt
Organism: Manduca sexta (tobacco hornworm)
Lineage: Eukaryota; Metazoa; Arthropoda; Insecta; Lepidoptera; Sphingidae
Exons: 2
Source: RefSeq, a predicted model, not a curated record